UACGUGGGGGGCGAGCGUUGUUCGGAAUUACUGGGCGUAAAGGGUUUGUAGGUGGCCUGCUAAGUCAGACGUGAAAUCCCUCAGCUUAACUGGGGAACUGCGUCUGAUACUGGCGGGCUUGAGGACAGGAGAGGAACGCGGAAUUCCAGGUGUAGCGGUGAAAUGCGUAGAUAUCUGGAGGAACACCGGUGGCGAAGGCGGCGUUCUGGACUGUUUCUGACACUGAAAAACGAAAGCCAGGGGAGCAAACGGG
RNAcentral lists this ribosomal RNA (253 nucleotides) under uncultured bacterium. Its description in RNAcentral is "partial 16S ribosomal RNA". It matches the Rfam family "Bacterial small subunit ribosomal RNA", at positions 524 to 776 of the family's 1533-position model. The record is from RNAcentral.